CUAUUACUCCCUCCGUUCGAAAUUAAAUGUCGCAAAAAUGAUAUAUCUAGACGUAUUUUAGUUCUAGAUACAUCCAUUUUCGAGACAAGUAAUUCCGAACGGAGGGAGUAUUUG
Non-coding RNA from Triticum aestivum (bread wheat), 114 nucleotides. Lineage: Eukaryota; Viridiplantae; Streptophyta; Magnoliopsida; Poales; Poaceae. The record is from Rfam.